CUCCGUACGGGAGGCAGCAGGUGGGGAAUUAGUUGGACAAUGGGCGACAACGCCUGAUCCAGCCAUGCCGCGGUGGGUGAGUAGGAACGGUCCGUUAGGGUUAGUAAACGUCCCGUUUCGGCGGGGAAGAUAAUGACGGUACCCGCAGAAGAAGCCCCGGCUAACUUCGUGCCAGCCGCCGCGGUAAUUC
Molecule: ribosomal RNA, 190 nt
Filed under: uncultured bacterium
Lineage: Bacteria
Description: partial 16S ribosomal RNA
Rfam family: Bacterial small subunit ribosomal RNA
Source: RNAcentral